Molecule: ribosomal RNA, 162 nt
Filed under: uncultured bacterium
Lineage: Bacteria
Description: partial 16S rRNA
Rfam family: Bacterial small subunit ribosomal RNA
Source: RNAcentral
UAGGGAAUCUUCCACAAUGGGCGAAAGCCUGAUGGAGCAACGCCGCGUGUGUGAUGAAGGGUUUCGCUCGUAAACACUGUUGUAAGAGAAGAAUGACAUUGAGAGUAACUGUUCAAUGUGUGACGGUAUCUUACCAGAAAGGAACGGCUAAAUACGUGCCAG